RNAcentral lists this ribosomal RNA (440 nucleotides) under uncultured bacterium. RNAcentral describes it as "partial 16S ribosomal RNA". It matches the Rfam family "Bacterial small subunit ribosomal RNA", at positions 339 to 795 of the family's 1533-position model. The record is from RNAcentral.
CUACGGGACGCUGCAGUGAGGAAUAUUGCACAAUGGGGGGAACCCUGAUGCAGCAACGCCGCGUGGAGGAUGACGCAUUUCGGUGUGUAAACUCCUUUUAUAUGUCAAGAAAAUGACGGUAGCAUAUGAAUAAGCACCGGCUAACUCCGUGCCAGCAGCCGCGGUAAUACGGAGGGUGCAAGCGUUACUCGGAGAUCACUGGGCGUAAAGGACGCGUAGGCGGGCUUGUAAGUCAGGUGUGAAAUCCUACAGCUUAACUGUAGAACUGCACUUGAAACUACGAGCCUAGAGUAUGGGAGGGGCAGAUGGAAUUAGUGGUGUAGGGGUAAAAUCCGUAGAUAUCACUAGGAAUACCUAAAGCGAAGGCGAUCUGCUGGAACAUAACUGACGCUAAGGCGUGAAAGCGUGGGGAGCAAACAGGAUUAGAUACCCCUGUAGUC